RNAcentral lists this non-coding RNA (21 nucleotides) under Caenorhabditis elegans. The record is from RNAcentral. Lineage: Eukaryota; Metazoa; Nematoda; Chromadorea; Rhabditida; Rhabditidae.
UUAUAGAAAUAUACUAAAAUU